RNAcentral lists this ribosomal RNA (1251 nucleotides) under uncultured bacterium. RNAcentral describes it as "bacterial SSU rRNA". It matches the Rfam family "Bacterial small subunit ribosomal RNA", at positions 41 to 1299 of the family's 1533-position model. The record is from RNAcentral.
GGCGCACAUAAGACAUGCAAGUCGAACGGACUUAAUUCAUUCUUUUAGAUUGGAAGCGGUUAGUGGCGGACUGGUGAGUAACGCGUGAGCAACCUGCCUAUUAGAGGGGAAUAACAGUGAGAAAUCAUUGCUAAUACCGCAUAUGCUUACACUAUUGCAUGAUAGAGUAAGGAAAGGAGCAAUCCGCUAAUAGAUGGGCUCGCGUCUGAUUAGCUAGUUGGUGGGGUAGAAGCCUACCAAGGCGACGAUCAGUAGCCGGACUGAGAGGUUGAACGGCCACAUUGGGACUGAGAUACGGCCCAGACUCCUACGGGAGGCAGCAGUCGGGAAUAUUGCGCAAUGGAGGGAACUCUGACGCAGUGACGCCGCGUAUAGGAAGAAGGUUUUCGGAUUGUAAACUAUUGUCGUUAGGGAAGAAAAAAGACAGUACCUAAGGAGGAAGCCCCGGCUAACUAUGUGCCAGCAGCCGCGGUAAUACAUAGGGGGCAAGCGUUAUCCGGAAUUAUUGGGUGUAAAGGGUGCGUAGACGGGUGUUUAAGUUGGUUGUGAAAUCCCUCGGCUCAACUGAGGAACUGCAACCAAAACUGGAUAUCUUGAGUGUCGGAGAGGAAAGUGGAAUUCCUAGUGUAGCGGUGAAAUGCGUAGAUAUUAGGAGGAACACCAGUGGCGAAAGGCGACUUUCUGGACGAUAACUGACGUUGAGGGCACGAAAGUGUGGGGAGCAAACAGGAUUAGAUACCCUGGUAGUCCACACUGUAAACGAUGGAUACUAGGUGUAGGGUGUAUUAAACAUUCUGUGCCGCCGCAAACGCAUUAAGUAUCCCACCUGGGGAGUACGACCGCAAGGUUGAAACUCAAAGGAAUUGACGGGGGCCCGCACAAGCAGUGGAGUAUGUGGUUUAAUUCGAAGCAACGCGAAGAACCUUACCAGGGCUUGACAUAUACAGGAAUAAGUAAGAGAUUACUUAGCUCUUCGGAGUCUGUAUACAGGUGGUGCAUGGUUGUCGUCAGCUCGUGUCGUGAGAUGUUGGGUUAAGUCCCGCAACGAGCGCAACCCCUGUCCUUAGUUGCCAGCACGUAAAGGUGGGAACUCUAAGGAGACUGCCGGUGAUAAAUCGGAGGAAGGUGGGGAUGACGUCAAAUCAUCAUGCCCUUUAUGUCCUGGGCUACACACGUACUACAAUGGCCGUGACAGAGAGAAACGAAGUAGUGAUGCAGAGUAAAACUCAAAAAACGGUCUCAGUUCGGAUU